UCAAGCUACAAAGAGCACAAGGGGAAUGCCUUGGCACCGAGAGCCGAAGAAGGACGUGACUAACUGCGAUAAGCUGCGGGGAGCCGUAAGUAGGCUUUGAUCCGCAGAUUUCCGAAUGGAGCAAUCCGGCAAGAGGAAAGUCUUGUCAUCAUAUACUGAAUACAUAGGUAUAUGAGGGGAACCGCCUGAACUGAAACAUCUAAGUAGGGCGAGGAAGAGAAAUCAACUGAGAUUCCGUAAGUAGUGGCGAGCGAACGCGGAAGAGGCCAAACCGAGAGUAGUAAUACUUUCGGGGUUCGGACAGAAUACGGCAUUGUAAAGGUUUAGUGGAAUGGAAUGGGAAGUCCAACCGAAGAAGGUGAGAGUCCUGUACACGAAAAGCCUGAACAGCCAUCUGUAUCCAGAGUACCGCCGGACACGUGAAACCCGGUGGGAAUAUGGGGGGACCAUCCUCCAAGCCUAAAUACUACUCGGUGACCGAUAGUGAAGAAGUACUGUGAAGGAAAGGUGAAAAGUACCCCUGACGGGGAGUGAAAAAGAACCUGAAACCUUGUGUUUACAAGCACCGAAAGCUCAUCAAAGAGCGAUCGGGUACCUUUUGUAGAAUGGUCCGGCGAGUGAAUGUAACCGGCGAGGUUAAGCACUUAAGGUGUGAAGCCGCAGCGAGAGCAAGUCUGAAUAGGGCGUAUGAAGUCGGUUGUAUUCGACCCGAAACCGGGUGACCUACCCAUGGUCAGGUUGAAGUAAAGGUAAAACUUUAUGGAGGACCGAACCGACUCCCGUUGAAAUGGUAGCGGAUGAACUGUGGGUAGCGGAGAAAUUCCAAUCGAACCCGGAGAUAGCUGGUUCUCUCCGAAAUAGCUUUAGGGCUAGCCUUGAAAUAGAUUACCGGAGGUAAAGCACUGAAUUGGCUAGGGGCCGAGAGGUUACUGAACCUUAUCAAACUAAGAAUGCCGGAUAAUCGUUUUUCAGGAGUCAGACAGUGGGAGAUAAGUUUCAUUGUCAAAAGGGAAACAGCCCAGACCCACAGCUAAGGUCCCCAAGUAUAGUUAAGUGGAAAAGGAUGUGGAAUUGCACAGACAACCAGGAUGUUGGCUUAGAAGCAGCCACUCAUUAAAAGAGUGCGUAAUAGCUCACUGGUCGAGUGACUCUGCGCCGAAAAUUUAACGGGGCUAAACUAUACACCGAAGCUUGGGAUACAUCUAAUGUAUGGUAGGAGAGCGUUCUGUAUGGGGAGAAGUCGUAGCGAAAGCGGCGGUGGACUAUACAGAAGUGAGAAUGCCGGAAUAAGUAGCGAGAAUUAAGUGAGAAUCUUAAUGGCCGAAAGUCUAAGGUUUUUGGAGGAAGGUUCGUCCGCUCCAAGUAAGUCGGGAGCUAAGGUCAGGCCGAAAGGCGUAGCCGAUGCACAUACGGUUGAUAUUCCGUAACCAUCUGUAAUUUAAGCAAAGGGACACUUCAAAAGGGUGUGACCCGGGCGUUGGUUGACCCGGGCGUAAGGGACCGAAAUUAGAGUAGGGAAGCACACUUAGCUGAAGGCGAGAAAAGCUUUGCGUAUAGAAACAGAUGCCCGUACCGCAAACCGACACAGGUGGACAGGAAGAGAAUUCUAAGGCCAGCGGGAGAAGGGUAGUUAAGGAACUCGGCAAAUUGACUCCGUAACUUCGGAAUAAGGAGUGCUCGAAAGAGCCGCAGAGAAUAGGCCCAGGCGACUGUUUAGCAAAAACACAGGUCUCUGCCAAAUCGAAAGAUGAAGUAUAGGGGCUGACACCUGCCCGGUGCCGGAAGGUUAAGAGGAGGAGUGAGAGCUCCGAAUUGAAGCCCCGGUAAACGGCGGCCGUAACUAUAACGGUCCUAAGGUAGCGAAAUUCCUUGUCGGGUAAGUUCCGACCCGCACGAAUGG
RNAcentral lists this ribosomal RNA (1900 nucleotides) under human gut metagenome. Its description in RNAcentral is "bacterial LSU rRNA". It matches the Rfam family "Bacterial large subunit ribosomal RNA", at positions 3 to 1999 of the family's 2925-position model. The record is from RNAcentral.